Molecule: ribosomal RNA, 1481 nt
Filed under: uncultured bacterium
Lineage: Bacteria
Description: bacterial SSU rRNA
Rfam family: Bacterial small subunit ribosomal RNA
Source: RNAcentral
GUUUGAUUAUGGGUCAAGACGAACGCUGGGGGCGUGCUUAACACAUGCCAGUCCAACGGAAAGGCCCCUUCGGGGGUGCUCGAGUGGCGAACGGGUGAGUAACACGUGGGUGAUCUGCCCUGCACUUUGGGAUAAGCCUGGGAAACUGGGUCUAAUACCGAAUACACCCUGCUGGUCGCAUGGCCUGGUGGGGGAAAGCUUUUGCGGUGUGGGAUGGGCCCGCGGCCUAUCAGCUUGUUGGUGGGGUGAUGGCCUACCAAGGCGACGACGGGUAGCCGGCCUGAGAGGGUGUCCGGCCACACUGGGACUGAGAUACGGCCCAGACUCCUACGGGAGGCAGCAGUGGGGAAUAUUGCACAAUGGGCGCAAGCCUGAUGCAGCGACGCCGCGUGGGGGAUGACGGCCUUCGGGUUGUAAACCUCUUUCAGUACCGACGAAGCGCAAGUGACGGUAGGUACAGAAGAAGCACCGGCCAACUACGUGCCAGCAGCCGCGGUAAUACGUAGGGUGCGAGCGUUGUCCGGAAUUACUGGGCGUAAAGAGCUCGUAGGUGGUUUGUCGCGUUGUUCGUGAAAACUCACAGCUUAACUGUGGGCGUGCGGGCGAUACGGGCAGACUGGAGUACUGCAGGGGAGACUGGAAUUCCUGGUGUAGCGGUGGAAUGCGCAGAUAUCAGGAGGAACACCGGUGGCGAAGGCGGGUCUCUGGGCAGUAACUGACGCUGAGGAGCGAAAGCGUGGGGAGCGAACAGGAUUAGAUACCCUGGUAGUCCACGCCGUAAACGGUGGGUACUAGGUGUGGGUUUCCUUCCUUGGGAUCCGUGCCGUAGCUAACGCAUUAAGUACCCCGCCUGGGGAGUACGGCCGCAAGGCUAAAACUCAAAGGAAUUGACGGGGGCCCGCACAAGCGGCGGAGCAUGUGGAUUAAUUCGAUGCAACGCGAAGAACCUUACCUGGGUUUGACAUGCACAGGACGCCGGCAGAGAUGUCGGUUCCCUUGUGGCCUGUGUGCAGGUGGUGCAUGGCUGUCGUCAGCUCGUGUCGUGAGAUGUUGGGUUAAGUCCCGCAACGAGCGCAACCCUUGUCUCAUGUUGCCAGCACGUGAUGGUGGGGACUCGUGAGAGACUGCCGGGGUCAACUCGGAGGAAGGUGGGGAUGACGUCAAGUCAUCAUGCCCCUUAUGUCCAGGGCUUCACACAUGCUACAAUGGCCGGUACAAAGGGCUGCGAUGCCGUGAGGUGGAGCGAAUCCUUUCAAAGCCGGUCUCAGUUCGGAUCGGGGUCUGCAACUCGACCCCGUGAAGUCGGAGUCGCUAGUAAUCGCAGAUCAGCAACGCUGCGGUGAAUACGUUCCCGGGCCUUGUACACACCGCCCGUCACGUCAUGAAAGUCGGUAACACCCGAAGCCAGUGGCCUAACCCGUAAGGGGGGGAGCUGUCGAAGGUGGGAUCGGCGAUUGGGACGAAGUCGUAACAAGGUAACC